GAUGAAUGAUGGAGGAGGGAAGAAAAAAGGCAAGUCGAGCGAACAGACGAGGAGCUUGCUCCUCUGACGUUAGCGGCGGACGGGUGAGUAACACGUGGAUAACCUACCUAUAAGACUGGGAUAACUUCGGGAAACCGGAGCUAAUACCGGAUAAUAUAUUGAACCGCAUGGUUCAAUAGUGAAAGACGGUUUUGCUGUCACUUAUAGAUGGAUCCGCGCCGCAUUAGCUAGUUGGUAAGGUAACGGCUUACCAAGGCGACGAUGCGUAGCCGACCUGAGAGGGUGCUCGGCCACACUGGAACUGAGACACGGUCCAGACUCCUACGGGAGGCAGCAGUAGGGAAUCUUCCGCAAAGGGCGAAAGCCUGACGGAGCAACGCCGCGUGAGUGAUGAAGGUCUUCGGAUCGUAAACCUCUGUUAUUAGGGAAGAACAAAUGUGUAAGUAACUAUGCACGUCUUGACGGUACCUAAUCAGAAAGCCCCGGCUCCCUACGUG
RNAcentral lists this ribosomal RNA (497 nucleotides) under uncultured bacterium. Its description in RNAcentral is "partial 16S ribosomal RNA". It matches the Rfam family "Bacterial small subunit ribosomal RNA", at positions 28 to 507 of the family's 1533-position model. The record is from RNAcentral.